Molecule: ribosomal RNA, 106 nt
Filed under: Omnitrophica WOR_2 bacterium RIFCSPHIGHO2_01_FULL_48_9
Lineage: Bacteria; Pseudomonadati; Candidatus Omnitrophota
Source: RNAcentral
CCUAGUGUCUUAUCGGGGAGGAUACACCCGUUCUCAUUCCGAACACGGAAGUUAAGCUCCCUUGAGCCGAUGGUAGUCGCAAGGCCAGAGUAGGUAGAUGCUAGGA